UUUAACGAAACAUAUUCAAAGUCUAUUUUCUUAGAAAUGAAGCUUUAAACGAAAAAAAUUUUAUUCUACACUUUCCACUUAUUUUUGCGCAUAGAAUUAUCUCUCGCGUCAAUUAUUCAAGCGUUAAUUCCAGUACGGAAUUAACUAAAUUCAGGUAUACUUGAUAAAUUUCCAAACUCGAUUUUCUCGAAACGAAAGCUUUGAUGAACAAAUUUUAUUCUUUCGUUUCGACUCGUUUUUCACGUUAGGAUCGCCUCGUGCUCUGUUGUAACCACCAAUCGCGAGAUACACCCUGUGUACAAUACAUAUACAUUAUUUAAACACGAUUUCAUUGUAUAAAUAGUGUUACGAGAUUAGUAAGGCAGACGAUUUACCUUCUUUUUCGAUUGAGUCAUUAACCUUGAAAAAGAAACUUCUUUAGAGAAAGUUUCUGCCAAUAUGCAUAGCAAUAUCGGCCGCACAUUUUCUCGCGUUUUGCUUCUGAAUUGAUCUAAGUCUCGCAAGCGCACUGAGUUUAUACAAAACUUGUAGAAAACUUAAAAAUGUAAAAAAGUAUAGGGUGUUAAAAGUAUACAAAAUAUCUGAAGUUACAUACCUGUAGAUUCGAUUUCCUUGGUUGCAUUUCACGAAUGUUUGAACCUGCGAAUAAACGUUCGCAAUCUGCUCGUAAGAUUUUCCAGUCCGUCAAACUUUUGAAAGAAAAUUUUCAAAAUCGUACCAAGCAAUUUCCUGCAAUUUUGUUGGAGUUCAGUCUUUUUUUCGGUCGCAGAGUUAAAUACUUUCACAAACAAACGGGAAAUCACUAGUGAACUCUGGUUGUGAGAUUCGUCAUUAAUCAUACCUACGCUCGGCCGAUAGAAUUGGAACGCCGUGUAUCGAGAAUUUGCGUUAAUUGCACGGCGCCAUAACAACGGCGUGUUCGCUUAUGGAAAGUGCGUGAAUCUUUGACGAGGCCGUGUAUCUUAUUUAGGCUUCGUAUUCGCUAGGAUUAUAUUGGCCUAUGGAAAACGGUCGUGCGGUUGUUUCGUUGCGUGCUGAUGCGAGAGUUUUUCGCCUUUUACAUUUAGGUUGGAUAAGGAAAGUCACGGUACAAUAAGCGCGAAACAUGUUAUUUCAAAAUACAUCGUCUUGCCACGCAGGAUAGACGUAGUUCUGCGACCUGCAUUAUCGAGUGAGAGUGAGAGAGAGAGGGCGCAGUUUUAAUCGGUUUGAAAUCGUGCGAGGUCACAGCACUCUAUACGUUUACCUGAGAUGAACGGAUAAAAUGUAAACCUGGUAAAACGUAACUAACCUGUGUACACGUAUAGGUUUACACGUUUGCAGCGAUGGUAUACAUUUCGAAAAAAAUUUGCGACAGAAGGAACAUUAAUAAAGUUGUAGGUACUUGUUGAAUAUACAUGUUAUAAGUAGCGUUACUUAAUUGCUGGUUUACUAUAUGGAACUACUGCGCAAUAAAAGAUACGAUCAAGAACAUUAACACAAGUACACUUUUUUCUUUUUUUAGCAAAAGUACUUGUCGAAUCUUUUAUUCAUCUUGCAGUUGCAGGAGAAAUUCUACGUGACAUAUCGAUCUGUAAAGAAAGUUGAAUCGUGAAAAUGAGAAAAAUUUGAAAGAUUUCAUGUAUUUUAUAUUAAAGUAAAGUACAAAUGAAUAAUACUCGACGAUGAAGGUAACGCUGUGUUAUUCAACUCAUAUAAUAUGAAGAAAGAAAGCUGCGAUCGAUACUCCAAGACACAAGCAUCUCGAGUUAAGAAUUCGUGUGAACGUAUGUACGUGGAGUAGACGCGAUCAAGUCGAAGGACGAUUGAAAGGAGAACAGCUGCACUCGGCCCAUUAUUUAUAUAUGUGCGUUUCAACUUCGUUGGGUAAGCUUGGCACGCGUGACUUCUCGCUCCUUUAGUGCACGUACACCCGUUAGAAUUUAAUCGGACACUUCCUGCUGUCGCGAUCGUGAAAGUAUCGGACAAGUUCCGCUGAAAAUACGAAACUGGUAUUGGCCAUAUAAGCGCUCUCGAAUUACGUCAAUAGAUCGAUGAAUUUGCCAACAACCGGCCGCGACAGCUGAGAAUAUCGAAUCCGGUUGGUCUCACAAUCAGCGGCGGAAACUGUAAGACAUAUGAGCAAGUUCCGACAAAAGAGGGAUAACUUGGAAUUACGUUAAACAUUGACGAAUUUCCAAUGAAUUUUACCGCUUGAAUUGUCGAAAUGAUAAAAUACGAUGUCGAUACGCUCGUAACUUUAGUAAAAGUUUGAAUGUAAUAGUAGACGUAGGAGUAUGCAGUAUGAAAUUAGGUAUAUACAAAGUAAUAUUUUUGUGUUGACAGUUAAUCACACAAUAUUCGUGCUUAUUAUUAUGCUUCUAAUAUAAAUCAUUUAUAACGUGAGACAAAAAAUAUGAUCACUGAACUGUAUCGUUCAAACUUGAUUAGUAACAUUUGCAUUUAAAGUUGAUAUUGCUCAAUAUGAUAAUAAGAGA
Molecule: long non-coding RNA, 2477 nt
Organism: Frieseomelitta varia
Lineage: Eukaryota; Metazoa; Arthropoda; Insecta; Hymenoptera; Apidae
Exons: 3
Source: RefSeq, a predicted model, not a curated record